RNAcentral lists this ribosomal RNA (222 nucleotides) under Saccharomyces cerevisiae (brewer's yeast). Its description in RNAcentral is "5.8S ribosomal RNA". The stretch from base 3 to 156 matches the Rfam family "5.8S ribosomal RNA". Rfam says of the family: 5.8S ribosomal RNA (5.8S rRNA) is a component of the large subunit of the eukaryotic ribosome. It is transcribed by RNA polymerase I as part of the 45S precursor that also contains 18S and 28S rRNA. The record is from RNAcentral. Lineage: Eukaryota; Fungi; Ascomycota; Saccharomycetes; Saccharomycetales; Saccharomycetaceae.
AAAACUUUCAACAACGGAUCUCUUGGUUCUAGCAUCGAUGAAGAACGCAGCGAAAUACGAUACGUAAUGGGAAUUGCAGAAUUCCGUGAAUCAUCGAAUCUUUGAACACACAUUGAACCCCUUGGAAUUCCAGGGGGCAAACCUGUUUAAGAGUCAUUUCCUUUUCAAACCUUAAAUUUGGUAAAGAAAGAUACUAUUUGGAGUUAACUUGAAAUUGCUGGC